RNAcentral lists this transfer RNA (71 nucleotides) under Wigglesworthia glossinidia endosymbiont of Glossina brevipalpis. Its description in RNAcentral is "tRNA-Gln (TTG) (tRNA-Gln-TTG-1-1)". It matches the Rfam family "tRNA". From Rfam's summary of the family: Transfer RNA (tRNA) molecules are approximately 80 nucleotides in length. Their secondary structure includes four short double-helical elements and three loops (D, anti-codon, and T loops). Lineage: Bacteria; Pseudomonadati; Pseudomonadota; Gammaproteobacteria; Enterobacterales; Erwiniaceae. The record is from Rfam by way of RNAcentral.
UGGGGUAUAGCCAAGAGGAAAGGCAGCGGGUUUUGAUCCCGCGAUCCCAGGUUCGAAUCCUGGUGCCCCAG